Molecule: ribosomal RNA, 524 nt
Filed under: uncultured bacterium
Lineage: Bacteria
Description: partial 16S ribosomal RNA
Rfam family: Bacterial small subunit ribosomal RNA
Source: RNAcentral
GACGAACGCUGGCGGCGUGCCUAAUACAUGCAAGUCGAACGAAGCUGUUUUAACUGGUGCUUGCACCGACUUAAACAACUGAGUGGCGAACGGGUGAGUAACACGUGGGUAACCCGCCCCAAAGCGGGGGAUAACAUUUGGAAACAGAUGCUAAUACCGCAUAACCACAGAAACCACAUGGUUUCUGUGUUAAAGAUGGUUUCGGCUAUCACUUUGGGAUGGACCCGCGGCGUAUUAGCUAGAUGGUAACGUAAUGGCUUACCAAGGCAAUGAUACGUAGCCGAACUGAGAGGUUGAUCGGCCACAUUGGGACUGAGACACGGCCCAAACUCCUACGGGAGGCAGCAGUAGGGAAUCUUCCACAAUGGACGAAAGUCUGAUGGAGCAACGCCGCGUGAGUGAAGAAGGUUUUCGGAUCGUAAAACUCUGUUGUCAGAGAAGAACGUGUGCGAGAGUAACUGCUCGUGCAGUGACGGUAUCUGGCCAGAAAGCCACGGCUAACUACGUGCCAGCCGCCGCAGUAA